ACGCUAUCACUCCUACGGGAGGCAGCAGUGGGGAAUAUUGCACAAUGGGGGAAACCCUGAUGCAGCCAUGCCGCGUGUGUGAAGAAGGCCUUCGGGUUGUAAAGCACUUUCAGUAGGGAGGAAGGUAGUGUAGUUAACACCUGCACUAUUUGACGUUACCUACAGAAGAAGCACCGGCUAACUACGUGCCAGCAGCCGCGGUAAUACGUAGGGUGCGAGCGUUGUCCGGAAUUACUGGGCGUAAAGGGCUCGUAGGUGGUUUGUCGCGUCGUCUGUGAAAUUCCGGGGCUUAACUCCGGGCGUGCAGGCGAUACGGGCAUAACUUGAGUACUGUAGGGGUAACUGGAAUUCCUGGUGUAGCGGUGAAAUGCGCAGAUAUCAGGAGGAACACCGAUGGCGAAGGCAGGUUACUGGGCAGUUACUGACGCUGAGGAGCGAAAGCAUGGGUAGCGAACAGGAUUAGAUACCCUGGUAG
This 475-nucleotide ribosomal RNA is filed under the name uncultured bacterium. RNAcentral describes it as "bacterial SSU rRNA". It matches the Rfam family "Bacterial small subunit ribosomal RNA", at positions 326 to 793 of the family's 1533-position model. The record is from RNAcentral.